This 238-nucleotide ribosomal RNA is filed under the name uncultured Glomus. Its description in RNAcentral is "partial small subunit ribosomal RNA". It matches the Rfam family "Eukaryotic small subunit ribosomal RNA", at positions 547 to 787 of the family's 1831-position model. The record is from RNAcentral. Lineage: Eukaryota; Fungi; Glomeromycota; Glomeromycetes; Glomerales; Glomeraceae.
UUUUGAGGGCAAGUUUGGUGCCCGCGCCCGCGGUAAUUCCAGCUCCAAUAGCGUAUAUUAAAGUUGUUGCAGUUAAAAAGCUCGUAGUUGAAUUUCGGGGUCAGUAGGUUGGUCGUGCCACCGGUACGUACUGGUCUCACUGAUUCCUCCUUCCUGAUGAGCUGUAAUGCCAUUAAUUUGGUGUUGCAGGGAAUCUGGACUGUUACUUUGAAAAAAUUAGAGUGAAAAAAACAGGCAC